UUGCUCGCCAAAUCUCCUCGACAAAUACACCCAUAUCAGUUUUCUAGCUAAAGUAGGAGAAGUAGGCCAUCCAUUCAAGUUUCACUUAUUAUUGCCAUCUCUGCCUUUCAAUCUAAGACUCGUUGUUGUUCCAAUAAAGAAUUGUAUAGGGCACUAGAUGGAACUCACAUUCCAGUAACAGUGUCUGAUGAGGAGAGACCAAGAUAUCGAAAUAGAAAGGGAGAUAUGUCUACCAAUGUUUUAGGAGUUUGUGAUCCAGAUCUAAAAUUCGUUUAUGUAAUAUCCGGAUGGAAGGGUUCUGCUUCUGACGC
Non-coding RNA from Prunus avium (sweet cherry), 311 nucleotides. Lineage: Eukaryota; Viridiplantae; Streptophyta; Magnoliopsida; Rosales; Rosaceae. The record is from RefSeq and is a predicted model, not a curated record.